This 338-nucleotide unclassified non-coding RNA is filed under the name soil metagenome. RNAcentral describes it as "partial contains 5.8S ribosomal RNA, internal transcribed spacer 2, and large subunit ribosomal RNA". The stretch from base 1 to 120 matches the Rfam family "5.8S ribosomal RNA", at positions 35 to 154 of the family's 154-position model. The record is from RNAcentral.
GAUGAAGAACGUAGCGAAAUGCGAUACGUAGUGUGAAUUGCAGAAUUCAGUGAAUCAUCGAAUCUUUGAACGCACAUUGCGCCCGGUAGUAUUCUGCCGGGCAUGCCUGUUCGAGCGUCAUUUCAACCAUCAAGCCCCAGCGCUUGUGUUGGGGGCCUGCGGCUGCCGCAGCCCCCUAAAAGCAGUGGCGGGCUCGCUAUCACACCGAGUGCAGUAGUUCAUCUUCUCUCCGGUCUUGUGAGGCGGGUUCCGGCCGUGAAACACCCCACUACAUUCAAGGUUGACCUCGGAUCAGGUAGGAAUACCCGCUGAACUUAAGCAUAUCAAUAAGCGGAGGA